Molecule: transfer RNA, 72 nt
Filed under: Stegodyphus mimosarum
Lineage: Eukaryota; Metazoa; Arthropoda; Arachnida; Araneae; Eresidae
Rfam family: tRNA
About the family: Transfer RNA (tRNA) molecules are approximately 80 nucleotides in length. Their secondary structure includes four short double-helical elements and three loops (D, anti-codon, and T loops).
Source: Rfam by way of RNAcentral
GCCUUCGUGGUGUAAUGGUCUCACACUGAGCCGGUAUUUCAGAGGUCCGUGGUUCGAUUCCCGGCGAAGGCG